AGAGGAAUGCGCUUGCGGUCGAAAGGGUACUGACAGAAAAGAAAAAAACAAAAAUACACAACACAAAGCCAUUACGAAAAACUGCGAAUUAAAGAAACACAAAGCGUAGCGAUGUGGGUUUUCACUUGGAACUUAGAAUGUUCUUUUGGCGGUAAUAGAUGACGACAACCACCAUGGACGAGUGAUAGUUUCAGCAAUUCUCCUCCGUAAGAAAAGAGCAGUAGCUGAAACAAACAACGAAAGCUGUGAUAAGCAUGGACAAGCACCAAGAAGAUGAGCGUAACACAGCUGCUACGCUUGACUCCAGGUUGAAUCAGACCCUAAAAAAUGUUCAAGGGUUACUCAAGGGGCGCAGCAUUCCUGGUAAAAUAUUAUUGAGCCGUAGGUCAGACCCUCCGGAUAACUCAAACUCAAAGAUAUCAAAUAACCCAAACUCAAAGACAUCCUCACCAAGUUACAAGAGGAGCUUUUCUCACAAUGAUGCUGGUCUAAGUGAUCACACAUAUGGGCCAAUAGAGGAGGAAUUUCCGAGUACAGACAAACCAAUUAGUAUUGCCAAUGCCAGUAAGCUAAAAGUGUCGACUUCCUUUGGAGGCAACCUGCCUGAAGAAAUCCCCAAGUCUAUUGUGGGUGCAAGAUCUACGGACUCUGCAAGAGUUAUGAAGUUCACUAAGGUUCUUUCCGAGACAGUGGUUAUAUUAGACAAGUUGCGUGAAUUAGCAUGGAGUGGUGUUCCAGACAAUAUGCGUCCUAAAGUGUGGAGACUUUUGUUGGGAUAUGCACCACCUAAUUCAGAUAGAAGGGAGGGAGUUCUAAGAAGGAAGCGCCUUGAGUAUCUUGACUGUAUAUCUCAGUAUUACGAUAUUCCAGAUACAGAACGUUCAGAUGAUGAGGUCAACAUGCUUCGUCAGAUUGGUGUUGAUUGUCCAAGAACUGUGCCUGAUGUUCCAUUCUUCCAGCAAUCGCAAGUUCAGAAAUCAUUGGAACGUAUUCUUUAUGCUUGGGCUAUUCGCCAUCCAGCAAGUGGAUAUGUUCAGGGGAUAAAUGAUCUUGUUACACCGUUCUUGGUUGUUUUCUUAUCAGAGUAUUUUGAAGGGGAUAUAGAUAAUUGGUCAAUGUCUGAUUUAUCACCAGAUACAAUCUCUAAUGUAGAGGCAGACUGCUACUGCUGCUUGUCAAAGUUGCUUGAUGGUAUGCAAGAUCAUUACACAUUCGCUCAACCUGGAAUUCAGAGGCUUGUUUUUAAGUUGAAGGAAUUGGUCAGGAGGAUUGAUGUGAAACUUUUGAGCUGCACCAGAGCCUGUUUCGCGGCACUUGGAGGAUCAGGGACUUGAAUUUCUUCAGUUUGCUUUCCGCUGGUUCAACUGUCUUCUCAUCCGUGAGAUACCAUUCCAUCUCAUUACGCGCCUUUGGGAUACAUAUUUAGCUGAAGGAGAUGACUUACCAGACUUCCUAAUAUAUAUAUUUGCCAGCUUCCUUCUAACGUGGUCAGACAAGCUCCAGAAAUUUGAUUUCCAAGAAUUGGUAAUGUUCCUUCAGAACCUCCCAACAGAGAAUUGGACUCAUCAGGAGCUUGAGAUGGUGCUUUCACAAGCAUUCAUGUGGCACACCAUGUUCAACAACUCUCCCAGCCAUUUAAUUAGCUGAGCCGGCAUUUGCUGUUUUCUGGGUUUAGUUCUUCAAAUUUACCUUCUCUUUUUCUUGAUUUUCAGAUUACUUCAGCUCUUGCUCACUAUGUGGUGCUUUUUUGUUAUUAAACUAUUCUUGUAAACCACUUCUAUUUGUAUGUGACCUUGUAAUAUUUUGUAAAGGAGAGACAAAAACAAAUGAUAGACAAAGUGAGUCUACUUCUGUUGUAUCAACGAUAUAUACUCCAGAACAACAAUCGAUACCCAGUUUGUGUAUGCAACAUUUUAAUGGAGACUUUAUACAAGCAUUAUGUAUAUGGAAA
Molecule: unclassified non-coding RNA, 1951 nt
Organism: Vigna unguiculata (cowpea)
Lineage: Eukaryota; Viridiplantae; Streptophyta; Magnoliopsida; Fabales; Fabaceae
Source: RefSeq, a predicted model, not a curated record